GAUGACACGCAAAUUCGUGAAGCG
This 24-nucleotide non-coding RNA is filed under the name Cricetulus griseus (Chinese hamster). Lineage: Eukaryota; Metazoa; Chordata; Mammalia; Rodentia; Cricetidae. The record is from RNAcentral. RNAcentral also lists the same sequence under 1 other name.